GACGAACGCUGGCGGCGCGCCUAACACAUGCAAGUCGAACGAGCGAGAGAGAGCUUGCUUUCUCGAGCGAGUGGCGAACGGGUGAGUAACGCGUGAGGAACCUGCCUCAACGAGGGGGACAACAGUUGGAAACGACUGCUAAUACCGCAUAAGCCCACGACCCGGCAUCGGGGAGUGGGAAAAGUAGCAGUCCGCUUUGAGAUGGCCUCGCGUCCGAUUAGCUAGUUGGUGAGGUAACUGCCCACCAAGGCGACGAUCGGUAGCCGGACGGGGAGGCUGAACGGCCACAUUGGGGAUGAGACACGGACCAGACUCGGACGGGAGGGAGCAGUGGGGAAUAUUGCACAAUGGAGGAAACCCUGAUGCAGCGGCGCGGGGUGGAGGAGGAAGGUCGUCGGAUUGUAAACUCCUGUUGGAGGGGAAGAUAAUGACGGUACUCGACAAGGAAGUGACGGCUAACUACGUG
This 466-nucleotide ribosomal RNA is filed under the name uncultured bacterium. RNAcentral describes it as "partial 16S ribosomal RNA". It matches the Rfam family "Bacterial small subunit ribosomal RNA", at positions 28 to 507 of the family's 1533-position model. The record is from RNAcentral.